AAAAAGAUGCCCAACGUCUUCCAGAAUCUGGUCUCUUGCAAAAGAGUCUUCCGGGAAUUGAAGAUGUUGUGUUUUUUUAAACAUGAUAAUGUUAGGAUGUAGGAAAAGCUAUUUCUCAUCUGAAGACAGGACAGUCCUGAAGGAUAAGAUGGAGCUAGUCUGUUUACGGCUGUGUAGCGAUACGGAGACUCAGAGGGAAAGAGGCUUAUUGUGCUUUGGAAGACCUCAUCUCAGCUGACCUGAGUUACGUGCAGAUUCAGGGAGAGUUUACUUGGGAUUUGUUAGUGUUGAACUGUUUUGUUUUCCUGUGAAAAGAACUGCCUCACUCUUCACAUGGUACUUAACUAUUUUAAUUGUUGUAAUUAAAACUCUAUCAAAA
RNAcentral lists this long non-coding RNA (379 nucleotides) under Rattus norvegicus (Norway rat). RNAcentral describes it as "long non-coding RNA NONRATT004606". The record is from RNAcentral. Lineage: Eukaryota; Metazoa; Chordata; Mammalia; Rodentia; Muridae.